GACGAACGCUGGCGGCGUGCUUAACACAUGCAAGUCGAACGGUGAAAGGGAGCUUGCUCCCCGGAUCAGUGGCGAACGGGUGAGUAACACGUGGGCAACCUGCCCCAGACUUCGGGAUAACGCUUCGAAAGAGGUGCUAAUACCGGAUACGAACUCCUUGGGCAUCCUUGGAGUUGGAAAGUUUUUCGGUCUGGGAUGGGCCCGCGGCCUAUCAGCUUGGUGGUGAGGUAACGGCUCACCAAGGGGACGACGGGUAGCCGGCCUGCGAGGGCGACCGGCCACACUGGGACUGAGACACGGCCCAGACUCCUACGGGAGGCAGCAGUGGGGAAUAUUGCGCAAUGGGCGAAAGCCUGACGCAGCAACGCCGCGUGAGGGAUGACGGCCUUCGGGUUGUAAACCUCUUUCAGCAGGGAAGAAGCGAAAGUGACGGUACCUGCAGAAGAAGCACCGGCUAACUACGUGCCAGCCGCCGCGGUAA
This 481-nucleotide ribosomal RNA is filed under the name uncultured bacterium. Its description in RNAcentral is "partial 16S ribosomal RNA". It matches the Rfam family "Bacterial small subunit ribosomal RNA", at positions 28 to 523 of the family's 1533-position model. The record is from RNAcentral.